GGGGAGGGUAACCGUUGGUCGCACCAACUUCUCCCUACCGGACUCAGUGGAGGGCUGGGCCCGCCCCCUGGUGCAGCUUCGGGACAGCCACGGCCUUUCAGAUAGUCAUCCUUCAUUGGACCCCCGCCUUCACCUGAUCAGCCUGACUUACCUGUUGCAGAAGAAGCUGAGUCAAUGAGUCUAGACCAAGAGCUACUUCAGCCCAGCCACCAACUAGAGCCUGAUGCUUCACCUGCCUAGAUCUCAAGGAUGCCUUCUUCUGCCUUCACCUGGCCCCACAAAGCCACCCUGUAUUUGCCUUUGAACGAGAAGAUCCCAAUACAGGUUGGAAGACCCAGUUGACUUAGACAAGGUUUCCCCAGGGCUUCAAAAACUCUCCUUGUCUGGAGAGGCCCUAGCUGCAGAUCUGGCCACUUUCCCAAGAGAAAAAGUGAAUUGCAUUUUACUGCAGUAUGUAGAUGACCUCUUACUGGCAAGUGAGGAAGGGCACUGUUGGAAGAGGCACAAGAACCCUUUUACAGUUGCUAAUGGACACAGAAUACAAGGUGUUACAGUUUGUGUGUGGAUGUCCCCCAAAGCCUCAUGCAGUCAUGGGGGUGGGUGGGUUUUUUGGAGGUGGCUGAAUCUAGAGUUGGUGAUGGGUUCACUGUCUAGUACUGGGAUUGGGGGUGUGAGUGCUAUACACACCAUAGUGCAGGUAUACACACCAUAGCCUGCAUAAUAUAAGGGGGGAAAGAGGCUUGCAUCUCCCUUUUGCUGUCUGCUGCUGCCAUGAACUGUUGUUUUGUUGCUUUUGCUGUCUGCUGCUGCCAUGAACUGUUGCCCCUCUGCCAUGCCACUCUGCCUUGGAACCAACUGAUGUGGACUGUAACCUCUGCAAACUGAAAGCUAAAUAAACCUUUUCUCCUUUAA
Chinchilla lanigera (long-tailed chinchilla) is the source of this 912-nucleotide long non-coding RNA. RefSeq lists it as uncharacterized. The record is from RefSeq and is a predicted model, not a curated record. NCBI's taxonomy places the organism in Eukaryota, Metazoa, Chordata, Mammalia, Rodentia, Chinchillidae. The transcript has 2 exons.